GGGUGGUGGUGCAUGGCCGUUCUUAGUUGGUGGAGUGAUUUGUCUGGUUAAUUCCGUUAACGAACGAGACCUUAACCUGCUAAAUAGACACGCGAACCGGUCCGCAAGGGCUCAAAGUUCGCGGCUCGACUUCUUAGAGGGACUAUUCGCACCCGCCAGCGAAUGGAAGUUUGAGGCAAUAACAGGUCUGUGAUGCCCUUAGAUGUUCUCGGCCGCACGCGCGUUACACUGACGGAGUCAACGAGCGUUUUUCCUUGCCCGACAGGGCUGGGUAACCUCCUGAAACUCCGUCGUGAUGGGGAUAGAUCAUUGCAAUUAUUGAUCUUGAACGAGGAAUUCCUAGUAGGCGCGAGUCAUCAACUCGCGCCGAUUACGUCCCUGCCCUUUGUACACACCGCCCGUCGCUCCUACCGAUUGAACGGUCCGGCGAGAACUCCGGAUGGU
This 444-nucleotide ribosomal RNA is filed under the name Vermamoeba sp. RNAcentral's name for it is "SSU rRNA". It matches the Rfam family "Eukaryotic small subunit ribosomal RNA", at positions 1272 to 1718 of the family's 1831-position model. The record is from RNAcentral. Lineage: Eukaryota; Tubulinea; Echinamoebida; Vermamoebidae.